This 253-nucleotide ribosomal RNA is filed under the name uncultured bacterium. RNAcentral describes it as "partial 16S ribosomal RNA". It matches the Rfam family "Bacterial small subunit ribosomal RNA", at positions 524 to 776 of the family's 1533-position model. The record is from RNAcentral.
UACGGGGGGGGCAAGCGUUGUUCGGAAUUACUGGGCGUAAAGGGCUCGUAGGCGGCCAACUAAGUCAGACGUGAAAUCCCUCGGCUUAACCGGGGAACUGCGUCUGAUACUGGAUGGCUUGAGUUUGGGAGAGGGAUGCGGAAUUCCAGGUGUAGCGGUGAAAUGCGUAGAUAUCUGGAGGAACACCGGUGGCGAAGGCGGCAUCCUGGACCAAUACUGACGCUGAGGCACGAAAGCGUGGGGAGCAAACAGG